Molecule: ribosomal RNA, 648 nt
Filed under: Enterococcus hirae
Lineage: Bacteria; Bacillati; Bacillota; Bacilli; Lactobacillales; Enterococcaceae
Description: bacterial SSU rRNA
Rfam family: Bacterial small subunit ribosomal RNA
Source: RNAcentral
GCUUCUUUUUCCACCGGAGCUUGCUCCACCGGAAAAGAGGAGUGGCGAACGGGUGAGUAACACGUGGGUAACCUGCCCAUCAGAAGGGGAUAACACUUGGAAACAGGUGCUAAUACCGUAUAACAAUCGAAACCGCAUGGUUUUGAUUUGAAAGGCGCUUUCGGGUGUCGCUGAUGGAUGGACCCGCGGUGCAUUAGCUAGUUGGUGAGGUAACGGCUCACCAAGGCGACGAUGCAUAGCCGACCUGAGAGGGUGAUCGGCCACAUUGGGACUGAGACACGGCCCAAACUCCUACGGGAGGCAGCAGUAGGGAAUCUUCGGCAAUGGACGAAAGUCUGACCGAGCAACGCCGCGUGAGUGAAGAAGGUUUUCGGAUCGUAAAACUCUGUUGUUAGAGAAGAACAAGGAUGAGAGUAACUGUUCAUCCCUUGACGGUAUCUAACCAGAAAGCCACGGCUAACUACGUGCCAGCAGCCGCGGUAAUACGUAGGUGGCAAGCGUUGUCCGGAUUUAUUGGGCGUAAAGCGAGCGCAGGCGGUUUCUUAAGUCUGAUGUGAAAGCCCCCGGCUCAACCGGGGAGGGUCAUUGGAAACUGGGAGACUUGAGUGCAGAAGAGGAGAGUGGAAUUCCAUGUGUAGCGGUGAAAUG